GUACGUACUGGCAUUGUUGGUUUCUCCCUUCUGACGAACCAUGAUGUCAUUUAUUUGGUGUUGUGGGGAGUCAGGACUGUUACUUUGAAAAAAUUAGAGUGUUUAAAGCAGGCUCACGCUUGAAUACAUUAGCAUGGAAUAAUGAAAUAGGACGUUUGAUUCUAUUUUGUUGGUUUCUAGGAUCGACGUAAUGAUUAAUAGGGAUAGUUGGGGGCAUUAGUAUUCAAUUGUCAGAGGUGAAAUUCUUGGAUUUAUUGAAGACUAACUACUGCGAAAGCAUUUGCCAAGGAUGUUUUCAUUAAUCAAGAACGAAAGUUAGGGGAUCGAAGACGAUCAGAUACCGUCGUAGUCUUGACCAUAAACUAUGCCGACUAGGGAUCGGAUGAUGUUAAUUUUUUAAUGACUCAUUCGGCGCCUUACG
This 421-nucleotide ribosomal RNA is filed under the name uncultured Glomeromycotina. RNAcentral's name for it is "SSU rRNA". It matches the Rfam family "Eukaryotic small subunit ribosomal RNA", at positions 673 to 1092 of the family's 1831-position model. Lineage: Eukaryota; Fungi; Glomeromycota. The record is from RNAcentral.